CGCGCGGUGCUCAUCGGGGGCAAGCGGAGGAUGCUCAUCUCCGCUGGGCUGCACUACCCGAGCGCCACACCCGAGAUGUGGCCCAGUUUAAUUGCAUAGCGCAAGGAGGGUGGCGCAGAUUUAAUUGAGACCUAUGUCUUUUGGAAUGGGCAUGAGCCAGCUAAAGGUCAGUUUUACUUUGAAGAAAGAUUUGAUCUGGUGAAAUUUGCAAAGCUGGUUGCCGCCGAAGGUCUAUUUCUUUUUCUUCGUAUCGGCCCAUAUGCUUGUGCAGAAUGGAACUUCGGAUUGAAAACGAAUAUGGGAUAUUCAAGGAAAUUUCGGUCAAGCAGGGAAGAGAUAUAUGCUAAGGGCUACUCAGAAGGAAAUUGGGCUUAACACUAGCAUUCCUUGGGUAAUGUGCAGGCAGACUGAUGCUCCAGAAGAAAUUAUCGAUACGUGCAAUGCAUUUUAUUGCGAUGGUUUCAAGCCAAAUUCUUACAAUAAGCCAACAAUAUGGACUGAACAUUGGGAUGGAUGCAUAUAAAGAAUAUGGUGCUACUACAAUAUCUCGUUGGUACACUUGAGGCUGAUUUUGUACCUCGUCAUGAUGCAUAUAAAGAGUCAUUAGACUCGGUAAUUUUCAGGGAAUCUCUUCUACAGAUGCUUCUGGUGUAACGGAAGCUUGCAUUCAGAUCUUUCGUAAAGAACUGCAUCUCAUUCCUGCUCACUCAAUAUUAUCAAGAAGUUGAAGAUGGUGUAGCUUCUAAAGAAUGUUCUGCUAAAUCAGCAUCUGAUCUAGAUUCUUCCUUAGCUGUGAUAUCUUUUGGAUUCAAAAGAAAAGCUUUGGCAUCAGUUCAGAAACUUUUCAUUAUAAUUUGCUUGUAAAAUUUUUGGACGCUACUAUGACAGUGAAGGCAGCCCAAUAAAAUAUCUCCACGGUAUAGAGGUAUAUUAAAGCAGCCAAAGUGGGGGCAUCUGAAAGAUCUGCAUGCUGCUAUCAAACAUUGUGAGCCAGCUCUUAUUGCAGUUGAUGGCUCACCUCAAUAUAUAAAGUUAGGAUCCUUGCAAGAGACUAAUAUAUGAAAGCUAUGGAAGGAUCGAUGGAUGUAUGAGGUGACCUGGAUGCAGUUACUGCUCCAGCAACUGGUAGAGUUGUGCAGGUCACCAAGAUCUGUUUACAUGGAAGAAAUUCAUAGACGAAUUCCCAUUUUUUUUUCCCUUGCUUGCUAAUUCUUUAAUGGGUCUGAGUCAAAGGACAAAAAUUAACAUCUUUUUGCAGGUUUUCCUCUGUAGGUACUAGCUGCUGCAGCAUGUUCUUUAAGGGAACAAGAGACAUGGGUGUAGCAAUAUUAGAUGAUCAGCUGAUACAACGUAAUGAGUUGAAAUAGUACUGAAGCAGAUGUUCCUCACGGGAAGUGGUGGGUGAUGGCAGCAGUGCAACACGUAGGCUAAGUGUUUACAGGUUGAUUCGUUCAAAUACAGACAUGUGCUCGAUAGAUUUGUGCCAAUCCUCUAUCUAUUACUUCACAGAUGAAGAUUUGGAAGGCAAUUUCGGUUCAAUGGUUUACCAAUGAUGGAACUGCCAUCCCCAUCUCCAACAGCCAGCCCAAAUCGGUUUUGGAUUAUUGGAGUGGCUAUGAUUAUGUCAGCAUCAUUUCUUCCAAGCAUUUGAUUAAGCUAAACCUUGUCAAAGAAGGUCCAUCUUGAUUUCACUGUUCCAAAUUUCAUGUGCCGAAGAAGGAAUUUCAAAUCGAGAAACUACAGCCCAUGGAAGCUGAAAAGAAGAGGAUCAGGCAAGAAUAUGAACGGAAAGAGAAGCAAAAUGAUGUCGAGAAGAAAAUGUUUAUUUCUUCUUUCGUGAAUAAUACUCAAGGCAGGUCAAAGAUUCCCAAAUUGAAGUUCUGCAAGCUCAAGAUGAUUUAGUGAAGUGUAUGUUGGAGGCAAUAGGGAAGGAGCUGCUGUACAUUAGCCGAGAUCACCAUUCACACGAGAAUCUUCUUAGGAUACUCAUUUUUCAGAUUGACUUGCAUGGAACCUAAUACUUAGCCUGGACUGUUGAUUUAUUUUACAUAUCAGUAACCUGGAGAUCAAGAUUGAAAUUACUGCCAAAUGCAAUCUAUGCCAAAAGACUGGGAUGAGGAAUAUAUUGAAGAUCUUGAUGAAGUUAAACCAGAGGUCUAGUUGUCGGUGGGCUUGCUAAUAUUUCAAAUACAGAGACCAAUACUAGGUUUGUAGUUAUCAGGAUCUUAUGCAUGAUGUGAGUAUGUUAUUCUUCAAUGUGCAGGAUGUGGUUUAACUUCAAUGACGAUUUUUUCUUCUUGUUCUUAUUGCCUCCUAUAAUAUUAUAUCCUUUUACUUUUCUAAUUCAGAACUCAUAAUUCCUUAUGCUGUUAUCUACUUUGAUUAUUUACUUCAUCUCUUAAAUGCUACUUCAUAAUGUCGAGUAUGGAUUCCUUAACUUCAAUGUACCCAAUCAGGAUUCAACUUAUCCUCGGAAAGUACCUCAUGAUGGCAAUAAUUUAAAUUAUCUAAACUUCUUUCCUUGAAAUAAUUUGUUUUUUACAGAAACCAUUCUUUGCAAAUUUUGGGGCCACUGUAACUUUUACCUUCCUUGGGACCUUCAUUGCUUCUGUUUUAACAAGAGUUCUUGUGUCUUGUCUAUCUUGGUGGGCUCGCAUUUCUAAUGUACAAACUUCCAUUGUUGAGUAUCUCAUGUUCAGUGUGCUUAUAUCUGCAACCGAUCCUUUCACUGUGUUGUCAAUAUUCCAGGACAAUGUCAUCAAUCAGAAGUGAAACAACAGCUGGGGAGAAUUUCUUUAUGAUGGUUUUCUAGUUCCUUGAGACCAUUGUUGGCUCAAUGUCAUCAGAUCUUGUGAAACUUUAACCACUCUGUACCCAUUUAAAUAUGCUGGACUGGAUAUUGACAAGUAAGUCAUGUCAUGCUACUUGUUUUCAGUUGACAAACUUUGUCAUGAUUAAUUUAUGUUGCCAGUGCUAAGCUUGUUGGGUUGUUUAACUGUUUCAGUCUUCAAAACAUGGAGUACUGCCUUUUUGUUCUUUUCCCUUGCUUCUGGUUUAUGUUAGCAUAAGGACUUGGCUUGUCAAGAAUUGUUUCUAUACUAUUCAUAGGGAUGGUUAUGAAGCACUAUACAUAUUCCCAAUCUCUCAAACAACUCGCCGCACUUCAUUUCUGCCUUCUUUCACUUACUGUCAUCUCUAGCGGAAACAUUCGUUUUUCAGCUUCAUUUAUAUGGGCUUUGAUAUUGCCAUGGAAGAACAUAGCUGGUCUCACCUGGGCUUCAUAUUCUUCUCAAUUAUAUUUAUAAUACUUGCAAGGUACUGUCAGGAGCCCCUUAUUCAAAUAUAAUACUUAAUUGGCAGCCAAAGCCAUAUUAUUGUCUAGAUUUGCACAAUUAUGUCUUCUCUAUGGUAAAAGCAUGUAACAGUAGGAUGUAUAUGAAAGGUGUAUCCCCUAACUACAAGGGAAAAUGGAAGGUCCCAUGGAUUGAUAAUCCAGAAUUUGAGGAUGACCCAGACCUAUACGUGCUGAAACCUUCUUGCUGAUUAAUAGGUGUCUGUAAGUGCAUGCACACAUUGUUAGUACAAUUAGAUAUGCAUGAAUUGUCAUUUUUUUCCCUAGUAAUGAAGGAGUGACUUGGAGAGGCGCAAGGAAUGUUCUUGUGCAGGGCUGCGAUGCGGCUGAGGCAGGUAGGAUGGUGAUGUGGUCGCCGGCCCCAGUCAUGGAGCUGGCGCACCUCGCCAUCGACUACAGCGGCGACCCCGCUUCCAUCCACUAUGCGCUCAACGCCACCAUGCUGCUGGUGCCUGACAUUCAUGAGGCGAUGAGGAAGAAAUGCCAGCUCACAGGAACACCAUAUGGGAGGCGCUUUGCUAACAAGCUGUAGAUUUUUACUCUAGAUGUGCAUGAAAGAUAUGAAAUCCUCUACUUUUCGGUUGACAUUGUUCAUAUCACAUCUUUGUGUUGUCCAACAGGACAUCAUUUCAUACUUGGUGUUUUUGUUCGAAUUGAUUGUGGCACAGGGACCAUUAGUGGGAUUAAUUGUAUCUCUUAG
Oryza brachyantha (malo sina) is the source of this 4052-nucleotide long non-coding RNA. RefSeq lists it as uncharacterized. Lineage: Eukaryota; Viridiplantae; Streptophyta; Magnoliopsida; Poales; Poaceae. The transcript is spliced from 29 exons. The record is from RefSeq and is a predicted model, not a curated record.